RNAcentral lists this transfer RNA (85 nucleotides) under Sphaerochaeta globosa str. Buddy. RNAcentral's name for it is "tRNA-Leu (GAG) (tRNA-Leu-GAG-1-1)". It matches the Rfam family "tRNA". Rfam says of the family: Transfer RNA (tRNA) molecules are approximately 80 nucleotides in length. Their secondary structure includes four short double-helical elements and three loops (D, anti-codon, and T loops). RNAcentral also lists the same sequence under 1 other name. Lineage: Bacteria; Pseudomonadati; Spirochaetota; Spirochaetia; Spirochaetales; Sphaerochaetaceae. The record is from Rfam by way of RNAcentral.
GCGGUAGUGGUGGAAUUUGGUAGACACGCUAGCUUGAGGUGCUAGUGGGCUAACGCUUGUGCUGGUUCAAGUCCAGUCUACCGCA